AAUCUGGCGUCCUCAGGGCGUCCGAGUUGUAAUCUAUAGAGGCGUUUUCCGUGCCGGACCGUGUCCAAGUUCCUUGGAACAGGAUAUCAAAGAGGGUGACAAUCCCGUACUUGACACGACGACCGGUGCUCUGUGAUACGUCUUCUACGAGUCGAGUUGUUUGGGAAUGCAGCUCAAAAUGGGUGGUGAGUUCCAUCUAAAGCUAAAUAUUGGCGAGAGACCGAUAGCGAACAAGUACCGUGAGGGAAAGAUGAAAAGCACUUUGGAAAGAGAGUUAAACAGUACGUGAAAUUGUUGAAAGGGAAACGAUUGAAGUCAGUCGUGACCGAGAGGCUCAGCCGGUUCUGCCGGUGUAUUCCCCUCGGUCGGGUCAACAUCAGUUUUGUCCGGUGGAUAAGGACGGUAGGAAGGUGGCACCCUCGGGUGUGUUAUAGCCUGCCGUCGCAUACAUCGGGUGAGACUGAGGAACGCAGCUCGCCUUUAUGGCCGGGGUUCGCCCACGUCCGAGCUUAGGAUGUUGACAUAAUGGCUUUAAACGACCCGUCU
Molecule: ribosomal RNA, 546 nt
Filed under: Papiliotrema laurentii
Lineage: Eukaryota; Fungi; Basidiomycota; Tremellomycetes; Tremellales; Rhynchogastremaceae
Description: eukaryotic LSU rRNA
Rfam family: Eukaryotic large subunit ribosomal RNA
Source: RNAcentral